GAUAUUCCAUAAAUGAGCUCUCAUAGACUUAUCCUCUAACUUAUCCGUCAUACCAUAUCUCAUAUGGUGUAAUGGAACCAACUUUAGAUGGAAUCUAAUUUAAAUUUUAGAAAUUAAAAUUUAUCUCUAAAAAAAUAAAGAUUAAAUCAGUGAAGUUUAUAAUCGAUCAGACCAUAUCUCAUAUAGUGCCAUUCCUCCUCAUAGAUAUCCCAUUGAGCUGAGAUGUACUAAGAGAAUUUCAUUAUGAAACUAUGCCCUUUUCUAAAGAUAAUCGUGAAAUUUUUUAUUUGGUAUUGCAUCCUCGAUC
This 307-nucleotide long non-coding RNA is filed under the name Elaeis guineensis (African oil palm). RNAcentral's name for it is "long non-coding RNA (EGUI_LNC066250)". Lineage: Eukaryota; Viridiplantae; Streptophyta; Magnoliopsida; Arecales; Arecaceae. The record is from RNAcentral.